RNAcentral lists this ribosomal RNA (462 nucleotides) under uncultured Rhodocyclaceae bacterium. Its description in RNAcentral is "bacterial SSU rRNA". It matches the Rfam family "Bacterial small subunit ribosomal RNA", at positions 923 to 1382 of the family's 1533-position model. The record is from RNAcentral. Lineage: Bacteria; Pseudomonadati; Pseudomonadota; Betaproteobacteria; Rhodocyclales; Rhodocyclaceae.
GCACAAGCGGUGGAGUAUGUGGUUUAAUUCGACGCAACGCGCAGAACCUUACCUGGUCUUGACAUCCCGGGAAUCUUUCUGAAAGGAGAGAGUGCCUCGCAAGAGGAGCCUGGAGACAGGUGCUGCAUGGCUGUCGUCAGCUCGUGUCGUGGGAUGUUGGGUUAAGUCCCGCAACGAGCGCAACCCUUGUCAUUAGUUGCCAUCAUUUGGUUGGGCACUCUAAUGAGACUGCCGGUGACAAACCGGAGGAAGGUGGGGAUGACGUCAAGUCCUCAUGGCCCUUAUGGGUAGGGCUUCACACGUCAUACAAUGGUCGGUACAGAGGGUUGCCAACCCGCGAGGGGGAGCUAAUCCCACAAAGCCGAUCGUAGUCCGGAUCGCAGUCUGCAGCUCGACUGCGUGAAGUCGGAAUCGCUAGUAAUCGUGGAUCAGCAUGUCACGGUGAAUACGUUCCCGGGUCUU